This is a long non-coding RNA of Ostrea edulis (European flat oyster), 1673 nucleotides long. RefSeq lists it as uncharacterized. The record is from RefSeq and is a predicted model, not a curated record. NCBI's taxonomy places the organism in Eukaryota, Metazoa, Mollusca, Bivalvia, Ostreida, Ostreidae. The transcript has 2 exons.
AUCCGUCUCUUCGGUAGCGUCAGGCCUUUUGAAAUCUAUCGGAAUCACGUCAUGAUGGUUUCCUGUUGUGAGAAUAAAGAACGACGAAUAUAUAUUCUCCUUACGUAGCCUAGAUUUUCCAGUAUUCGGUAGUAUAUAAACAACACCCAGCGAAACAUUCUAUGUCUUAUCUGGAGGACUUCUUUUGAAAAUGAACACGUGUCAAUUGUUCUUGAGUCUGUUACUAAUCGGAACAAUCUUUGUUUGUCAAAAUGGAGAAACAGACGCCAAAGCGGUUCACGGUAAUCUUAAAAGAAGUGUUGGAAAUUUUCUACAAGUACGACAUGAUUACCCCCAGAGGUCGGGCGGUAUUAUAAAUAGUGGACCACGGAACCGAUGCUUUGGAAUAAACUGCCGAAGAGGAUGAACAUAUGAUAAAAAAAAAAAAAAAAAAAAAAAAAAAAAAAAAAAAAAAAACUCGUUGUAAGGAAAUGUGCGAACGUUCUGCGACUUGACGAAAUGUUAUAAAUAUGAAAAUAGAUUCCUCUACCAUGAUGUGUUGGGCUUUAUGUAGAUGCUAGUACGGAUGUUUGAAAAAUUGAUGGUUUGGAAAAUAUAAAAUGCGAAGAUAUGCUGAAAGUUGUAUCUGUUUGAAUUGGAACUAUUGGAACUAUUGCACCUGUCUGAAUGUGAAGCCCAGAAAACAACCGAAGCGAGUAUUUGUGCACCAGUAGUAGUACCAAAUCCGUCAGUGGAAGUAUUCCAUAAUAAUCACCACUCCAAAGCUUCAACUGCAUAUGCAUAUGCGGAUGCAGUGUCCUCCAUGAACACACCAAGCGUUUUCGAAACGUCUCAAAUGACCAACACCUCGAAGGAGCGGAUCUAUGUCCAAUCGAAUACGCAGCAACAACAGUCAUCCAAACACUCUAAUGUCGCUCAUACCUCGAAAAUACCUUACUCUUACACAUUAUACAACCUUACACAUUCCUCUACCAUGAUGUGUUGGGCUUUAUGUAGAUGCUAGUACGGAUGUUUGAAAAAUUGAUGGUUUGGAAAAUAUAAAAUGCGAAGAUAUGCUGAAAGUUGUAUCUGUUUGAAUUGGAACUAUUGGACAAUACCAUGUUUACCAAUGAAAUUAACAUACACAAAAGAACUCCAGACAAUAAACAUUACGAUCACUACACAGACAGAAAAAUAGAUAUAAACACAUUUCCAAUGUUUGUAGUACCACACCGAGACACAGAUUCUAUGAUGUAGAAGAUGCACGUAUCAUUAUAUGGUUGUCGUGAUGUAGAAAUAAAUGAGAUUGAUCACUGUUCGUUAUUUUCACCUUUCAUCUAUGUUUCUCUUUAUACGUGUACCUUUCAUAUUUCUGAGAUAUAUAUUAUGAUGUGUUUGUCUUCAUAUAAUUAAACUUAUUUUUUUAUUGAUUUGCAUUGUCCAUUGUUCAAAUCAAAAGUAUAUGUGAUUUCAAAAUUGACUGGGAGUGGUGUCGUGCUCCUGUAAUCUAGUUAGUUGGAGGUCAGAGCUUUUGUGAUGUCAAAAGUUAUUUACAAUGGAUUAAUAUCUCACGAUUGAAAUACAAUAUCAAAACAAGCUGUAAAAAUUGACAUUAUUGAAAUGGGUUUAAACAUAUUGUUCCAUAUAUUCGAUUGCUUCUGUAAAAUAAAAGACUGGAGUUGUAUAAUUUUCAA